GUUUAUUUGGAGUUAUAAAUGAUUUGGCCUGCCCCCUGAUUGAAAUAUUAAAGGGCCGCAGUAUUUUAACUGUGCAAAGGUAGCAUAAUCAUUAGGUUUUUAAUUAGAAUCUUGUAUGAAUGGUCGGACAAAAGAGAAGCUCUCUUUGUAUUAAUUUUGAAUUUAACUUUUAAGUGAAAAGGCUUAAAUGUACUAAAGGGACGAUAAGACCCUAUAAAACUUUACAUUAUAAUUAUAUUUUAGUGAAUUUAUAAAUAAAGAUUUAAUUUGAUUAUUUGUUGGGCUGGGGAGGUGUAAAUAAAUAUUAUUUUAACUGUUUAAUAACAAUACAAUUAUUAAUGGGUAAAUGUAAAAGAUCCUUUGUUAAAGAUUAAUAAAUUAAGUUACUUUAGGGAUAACAGCGUAAUUUCUUUUGAGAGUUCUUAUCGAAAAAGAAGAUUGUGACCUCGAUGUUGAAUUAAAAUAUUCUAUAUAAUGAAGAAGUUAUAUAAGAAGGUCUGUUCGACCUUUGAAAUUUUACAUGAUUUGAGUUCAAACCGGUGUGAG
RNAcentral lists this ribosomal RNA (546 nucleotides) under Nanhaipotamon pingyuanense. RNAcentral describes it as "partial 16S rRNA". It matches the Rfam family "Bacterial large subunit ribosomal RNA", at positions 1831 to 2625 of the family's 2925-position model. Lineage: Eukaryota; Metazoa; Arthropoda; Malacostraca; Decapoda; Potamidae. The record is from RNAcentral.